GAUGAACGCUAGCGGCAGGCCUAACACAUGCAAGUCGAGGGGCAGCAGUGGCGUAGCGAUACGCUGAUGGCGACCGGCGCACGGGUGCGUAACGCGUAUGCAACCUGUCCGGCGCGAGGGGGGUAGCCCGUCGAAAGGCGGGGUAAUCCCGCAUGAACCGGUAUUCCCGCAUGGGGGUGCCGGCAAAGUGGAGACGCGGGGCCGGAGGGGCAUGCGUGCCAUUAGCUGGCUGGAGGGGUAACGGCCCACCAGGGCGAUGAUGGCUAGGGGGUCUGAGAGGAUGGUCCCCCACACUGGUACUGAGACACGGACCAGACUCCUACGGGAGGCAGCAGUGAGGAAUAUUGGUCAAUGGGCGGAAGCCUGAACCAGCCAUGCCGCGUGCGGGACGACGGCCCUACGGGUUGUAAACCGCUUUUGCAGAGGAGCAACAAGGGGGUUUCGCACCCCCCGACGAGCGUACCCUGCGAAUCAGCACCGGCUAACUCCGUG
RNAcentral lists this ribosomal RNA (492 nucleotides) under uncultured bacterium. RNAcentral describes it as "bacterial SSU rRNA". It matches the Rfam family "Bacterial small subunit ribosomal RNA", at positions 28 to 507 of the family's 1533-position model. The record is from RNAcentral.